Molecule: ribosomal RNA, 406 nt
Filed under: uncultured bacterium
Lineage: Bacteria
Description: partial 16S ribosomal RNA
Rfam family: Bacterial small subunit ribosomal RNA
Source: RNAcentral
AUUGAACGCUGGCGGCAGGCUUAACACAUGCAAGUCGAGCGAGCGGCGGACGGGUGAGUAAUGUCUGGGAAACUGCAUGAUGGAGGGGGCUAACUACUGGAAACGGUAGCUAAUACCGCAUACCAUCAGAUGUGCCCAGAUGGGAUUAGCUAGUAGGUGGGGUAAUGGCUCACCUAGGCGACGAUCCCUAGCUGGUCUGGGAGGAUGACCACCCACACUGGACCUGCGCCACGAUCCAGACUCCUACGGGAGGCAGCAGUGGGGAAUAUUGCACAUGGGGCGCAAGCCUGAUGCAGCCAUGCCGCGUGUGUGAAGAAGGCCUUCGGGUUGUAAAGCACUUUCAGCGAGGAGGCGUUACUCGCAGAAGAAGCACCGGCUAACUCCGUGCCAGCAGCCGCGGUAAUAC